GAUGAAGAACGCAGCGAAAUGCGAUAAGUAAUGCGAAUUGCAGAAUCCGUGAGUCAUCGAAUCUUUGAACGCAUAUUGCGCCCUUUGGCAUUCCGAAGGGCAUGCCUGUUCGAGCGUCAUUAUCACCCCUCAAGCCCCGGCUUGGUGUUGGGCUUAGUUACGGAUCACCUAUAACUGGCCUCAAAGAUAGUGACGGCGCCCCAGGGGGAACCGGUACGAGGAGCUUCCAGUUAAGCAUGUACGCGGGACGACUCUGCGGGCGACGGUCUUUUCAUUUCUCCACGUGUUGACCUCGGAUCAGGUAGGAAUACCCGCUGAACUUAAGCAUAUCAAUAAGCGGAGGA
This 344-nucleotide unclassified non-coding RNA is filed under the name soil metagenome. RNAcentral describes it as "partial contains 5.8S ribosomal RNA, internal transcribed spacer 2, and large subunit ribosomal RNA". The stretch from base 1 to 119 matches the Rfam family "5.8S ribosomal RNA", at positions 35 to 154 of the family's 154-position model. The record is from RNAcentral.